AAAGUACUCCCUCCGUUCCAAAAUUCUUGUCUUAGAUUUUUCUAGAUACGUAUGUAUCAAGUCACGGAUGCAUCCGUAUCUAGACAAAUCUAAGACAAGAAAUUUGGGAUAGAGGGAGUAGCUG
Triticum aestivum (bread wheat) is the source of this 124-nucleotide non-coding RNA. Lineage: Eukaryota; Viridiplantae; Streptophyta; Magnoliopsida; Poales; Poaceae. The record is from Rfam.